This 497-nucleotide ribosomal RNA is filed under the name uncultured bacterium. RNAcentral describes it as "partial 16S ribosomal RNA". It matches the Rfam family "Bacterial small subunit ribosomal RNA", at positions 29 to 506 of the family's 1533-position model. The record is from RNAcentral.
AGCGAACGCUGGCGGCGUGCCUAACACAUGCAAGUCGAACGUGAAAAGGGAAACCUGAGUAAAGUGGCGUACGGGUGAGUAACGCGUAGGUAAUCUACCCCAGAAUCUGGAAUAACCCGCCGAAAGGCGGGCUAAUACUGGAUAGAGCGAGGGAACUCGUAAGAGAGUUUUUCGGGAAAGGGAGCCCGCAAGGGCCUUCGUUCUGGGAUGAGCCUGCGUCUCAUUAGCUAGUUGGUAAGGUAACGGCUUACCAAGGCGAUGAUGAGUAGCUGGUCUGAGAGGAUGAUCAGCCACACUGGAACUGAAACACGGUCCAGACUCCUACGGGAGGCAGCAGUGGGGAAUCUUGCGCAAUGGACGAAAGUCUGACGCAGCCACGCCGCGUGAGUGAAGAAGGCCUUCGGGUUGUAAAGCUCUGUCGGAUGGGACGAACAUCUUCAUAGUGAAUAGCUAUGAGGACUGACGGUACCAUCAAAGGAAGCACCGGCUAACUCCGU